AGGCCUACACAUGCAAGUCGAGCGGAUGAGAAGAGCUUGCUCUUCGAUUCAGCGGCGGACGGGUGAGUAAUGCCUAGGAAUCUGCCUGGUAGUGGGGGACAACGUUUCGAAAGGAACGCUAAUACCGCAUACGUCCUACGGGAGAAAGCAGGGGACCUUCGGGCCUUGCGCUAUCAGAUGAGCCUAGGUCGGAUUAGCUAGUUGGUGAGGUAAUGGCUCACCAAGGCGACGAUCCGUAACUGGUCUGAGAGGAUGAUCAGUCACACUGGAACUGAGACACGGUCCAGACUCCUACGGGAGGCAGCAGUGGGGAAUAUUGGACAAUGGGCGAAAGCCUGAUCCAGCCAUGCCGCGUGUGUGAAGAAGGUCUUCGGAUUGUAAAGCACUUUAAGUUGGGAGGAAGGGCAGUAAGCGAAUACCUUGCUGUUUUGACGUUACCGACAGAAUAAGCACCGGCUAACUCUGUGCCAGCAGCCGCGGUAAU
This 484-nucleotide ribosomal RNA is filed under the name uncultured bacterium. RNAcentral describes it as "bacterial SSU rRNA". It matches the Rfam family "Bacterial small subunit ribosomal RNA", at positions 44 to 524 of the family's 1533-position model. The record is from RNAcentral.